CAAUAGCGUAUAUUAAAGCUGUUGCGGUUAAAAAGCUCGUAGUUGGAUUUCUGUCAAGGACAACUGGUCCGCCCUCCGGGUGAGCACAUAGUUUGGUCUUGGCAUCUUGUUCAAAACUGUUACUGCGCUUGGUUGUGUGGUGCAGUUUUGGGCACUUUCACUUUGAGGAAAUUGGAGUGUUUCAAGCAGGCACAUGCCUUUGGACACAGUAGCAUGGAAUAAUUAGAUUGGGCUUUUGCUCCAACUUGUCGGUUCCUGGAGCUGAGGUGAGAAUCAAUGGGGAUUGUUGGGGACAUCUGAAUUUAGCCGUCAGAGGUGAAAUUCUUGGAUCUGCUAAAGACGGACAACUGCGAAAGCGUUUGCCCAGGAUGUUUUCAUUGA
RNAcentral lists this ribosomal RNA (381 nucleotides) under uncultured eukaryote. RNAcentral's name for it is "partial 18S ribosomal RNA". It matches the Rfam family "Eukaryotic small subunit ribosomal RNA", at positions 592 to 976 of the family's 1831-position model. The record is from RNAcentral.